This is a long non-coding RNA of Oreochromis niloticus (Nile tilapia), 524 nucleotides long. RefSeq lists it as uncharacterized. The record is from RefSeq and is a predicted model, not a curated record. NCBI's taxonomy places the organism in Eukaryota, Metazoa, Chordata, Actinopteri, Cichliformes, Cichlidae. The transcript is spliced from 2 exons.
AAUACCUCUUUUGGCAUGUAGUGAACAUUUCAAAUUGAAAUGGCUAAUACAGACGGGCACAGUGGAUGCUCUUGUCAGUGAAGAACAGGAAACGGAGGCUACAAUUCACACGGGUUCACAAAAACUGGACAAGAGGAGACUAGGAAAAUGUUGCCUGCUCUGAUCAGUCUUGGUUUCUGUUGUGACAUUUGGAUGGCAAGAUGACUCACUGUGGAAGAAAGCUAGGCCUGGCAAAGUUGUGUAGGAGACUCAACAGCGCCACUGUUUGGACAAAAGUGGCAAAUUCACCCUUGUUCAGUGGACCAAAACGAAACACGCAAGCCUUGAUUUAUCUGUAAUUUCCGUUUUAUUUAAAAUGAAGCUUCAAGAUAAUAACUCCUCCACGCUGUUUCCUGUUUUUGCAUCAUAAAAUUGUCUGUAUACUGAAAAUAACAAUCUGAUAAUCUCUUGUGGUAACAAAAAAUUUGCUACAGCUCCUCAAAACAGCAAAUAAAUUACAUGUUCUUCAGAUAAUAGAUAAAUUA